Small nuclear RNA from Catagonus wagneri (Chacoan peccary), 106 nucleotides. The record is from Ensembl. NCBI's taxonomy places the organism in Eukaryota, Metazoa, Chordata, Mammalia, Artiodactyla, Tayassuidae.
GUUCUCCCUUUGGCAGCACAUAUACCAAAACUGGAAAACAUAGAGAAGAUUAGCAUGACCUGUGCACAAGCAUGACAUGCAAAUUGGUGAAGUAUUACCUUUUGAA